CAGGUAAACAGACAGGUAGACAGACAGACAGACAGACAGGCAGACAGGUAAACAGACAGGUAGACAGACAGACAGACAGACAGACAGACAGGUGUUUGUGUCUCACCGGCUGCAGACCCUCGGCCAUCUCUCCGGAGCCGAUGUGUGUGAGGUGGAUGAAGUUUGUCGGCUCUCCGAUCAUACUGCGGUCAAUCUUUCUCCUCUUCUUCUUCUACACACACAGACACAUACACACACACACGGACAGACACACACACACACACACACACACACAGACACACACACACACACACACACACACACACACACACACACACAUACACACACA
Long non-coding RNA from Labrus mixtus (cuckoo wrasse), 328 nucleotides. RefSeq lists it as uncharacterized. The transcript is spliced from 2 exons. Lineage: Eukaryota; Metazoa; Chordata; Actinopteri; Labriformes; Labridae. The record is from RefSeq and is a predicted model, not a curated record.